This 335-nucleotide unclassified non-coding RNA is filed under the name soil metagenome. RNAcentral describes it as "partial contains 5.8S ribosomal RNA, internal transcribed spacer 2, and large subunit ribosomal RNA". The stretch from base 1 to 120 matches the Rfam family "5.8S ribosomal RNA", at positions 35 to 154 of the family's 154-position model. The record is from RNAcentral.
GAUGAAGAACGUAGCGAAAUGCGAUAAGUAAUGUGAAUUGCAGAAUUCAGUGAAUCAUCGAAUCUUUGAACGCACAUUGCGCCCGCCAGUAUUCUGGCGGGCAUGCCUGUUCGAGCGUCAUUUCAACCAUCAAGCCCCCGGCUUGUGUUGGGGACCUGCGGCUGCCGCAGGCCCUGAAAAGCAGUGGCGGGCUCGCUGUCACACCGAGCGUAGUAGCAUACAUCUCGCUCUGGGCGUGCUGCGGGUUCCGGCCGUUAAACCACCUUCAUAACCCAAGGUUGACCUCGGAUCAGGUAGGAAGACCCGCUGAACUUAAGCAUAUAAUAAGCGGAGGA